Long non-coding RNA from Rosa chinensis, 799 nucleotides. RefSeq lists it as uncharacterized. The transcript has 5 exons. Lineage: Eukaryota; Viridiplantae; Streptophyta; Magnoliopsida; Rosales; Rosaceae. The record is from RefSeq and is a predicted model, not a curated record.
CGGUCGGGGAGUCCGGUAUAAAUAGAACAGCGCUAUUGAACCCUAGCUAGCGCCGCCUCCUUCUUCUUCUUCUGUUCACUCUCUUACUGCUCGGGAGCCUUCACAACUCUAUUCGCCCAGGUUCUUAUACUUUGAUAAAGAUGUGUGAAUUCAGCUAUGGGAAUAGAGGAAUUAAUUGAUGCAAAAGAGGAUUUUAAUGAAAUCGGUAAUUGGAGCAUUCGGCAGAAAAUUUAACGGUCUAUUCUGUACGUCUACCUCUGCGAACCAAUGUUCCAGAAUCUGCAGUCAAAGACCAAGCAGAUGACAUGCUAGAACAAGGAUGCCGAAUGAAAUUUGAUGAAAAGAACAGCUCAGAAGAACAAUUGAAACUGAUGGAAGUUCCACUGACUGAAACUGAGAUAGAAAGCAUAAAAUGGAUCAGGGAUAGCUAUAAUGGAAAAAUGAAUGUGCAAGACAUUAAAAGUUGCCCUCAACAAGGAGAAGACUCAUUGGAUUGCAGGCGUUUUGUGAUGUACAACAUGGAGAAAAUUUCGAAAAAUGAUAGAGUUCCAAGCAAACUAACAAAGGAUGAUAUUCUGAAAUUUAGAGCUCAUGUGGUAAAGUCAUUUGCAGAAAGUAGGCACGGCUGGAACUCAACACACGAUGAAUUAUAAAAAUUUGUUUAGGGAAUAGGACGGGUUGGAGAGUUCCUUCAGUACAUGUUAUAUAGUUUUUUGAGAGCAUCUAAAGUACAUGUUUUUAUAGUUUUUGGAUUGCUUUACUAUAUAUAAUUUUGUUUGCAAUGAUCUUUUGAAAGCAA